RNAcentral lists this ribosomal RNA (320 nucleotides) under uncultured Prevotella sp. Its description in RNAcentral is "bacterial SSU rRNA". It matches the Rfam family "Bacterial small subunit ribosomal RNA", at positions 28 to 339 of the family's 1533-position model. Lineage: Bacteria; Pseudomonadati; Bacteroidota; Bacteroidia; Bacteroidales; Prevotellaceae. The record is from RNAcentral.
GAUAAACGCUAGCUACAGGCUUAACACAUGCAAGUUGAGGGGUAACAUUGGCUGAGCUUGCUCAGCCAGAUGACGACCGGCGCACGGGUGAGUAACGCGUAUCCAACCUUCCCCUUAGUAGAGGAUAGCCCGGCGAAAGUCGGAUUAAUACUCUAUGUUGUAUUUUGAGGACAUCUGACGAAUACCAAAGAUUUAUCGCUAAGGGAUGGGGAUGCGUCUGAUUAGCUUGUUGGCGGGGUAACGGCCCACCAAGGCGACGAUCAGUAGGGGUUCUGAGAGGAAGGUCCCCCACAUUGGUACUGAGACACGGACCAAACUCC